Molecule: ribosomal RNA, 444 nt
Filed under: Argopus bidentatus
Lineage: Eukaryota; Metazoa; Arthropoda; Insecta; Coleoptera; Chrysomelidae
Description: partial 16S ribosomal RNA
Source: RNAcentral
UCUUUUUGUUUAUAAUUUAAAGUUUAACCUGCCCACUGAAAGUUAAAUGGCCGCGGUAUUUUGACCGUGCUAAGGUAGCAUAAUCAUUAGUUUUUUAAUUGAAAGCUGGAAUGAAGGGUUGAAUGAAAAAAUUACUGUCUUAAAUUGAAUUUAUUAAAACUUUAUUUUUAAGUUAAAAAGCUUAAAUUUUUUUAAAAGACGAGAAGACCCUAUAGAGUUUUAUAGAAUUUUUUUUUUAAAAUUUUAGUAUUUUAAUUUUUAGAGAUUUAUUUUUAUUUAGUUGGGGUGAUUGAAAAAUUUAAUAAACUUUUUUUUAGUUUUAAUAUUUAUUGAUAAAUUAAUGAUCCUAUAUUUUAGAUUAUAAGAAAAAAUUACCUUAGGGAUAACAGCGUAAUUUUAUUAUAGAGUUCAAAUCGACAAUAAAGUUUGCGACCUCGAUGUUGG